UAAAAUACACAUCUUAAAAACAUAACAAUAGGAAAAUACUACUUUUAAAUAAGGAAGAGUUUGUGGUGGAUGCCUUGGGUCUGGAAGUCGAAGAAGGACGUGAUUACCUGCGAUAAGCCUCGUGGAGCUGGAAAUGCGCAUUGAAACGGGGAUUUCCGAAUGGGGGAAACCCA
Molecule: ribosomal RNA, 173 nt
Filed under: Mycoplasma sp. Sp22
Lineage: Bacteria; Bacillati; Mycoplasmatota; Mollicutes; Mycoplasmatales; Mycoplasmataceae
Description: partial 23S ribosomal RNA
Rfam family: Bacterial large subunit ribosomal RNA (bases 43-173)
Source: RNAcentral